Molecule: ribosomal RNA, 464 nt
Filed under: Staphylococcus aureus
Lineage: Bacteria; Bacillati; Bacillota; Bacilli; Caryophanales; Staphylococcaceae
Description: partial 23S ribosomal RNA
Rfam family: Bacterial large subunit ribosomal RNA
Source: RNAcentral
CAGCUAAGGUCCCAAAAUAUAUGUUAAGUGGAAAAGGAUGUGGCGUUGCCCAGACAACUAGGAUGUUGGCUUAGAAGCAGCCAUCAUUUAAAGAGUGCGUAAUAGCUCACUAGUCGAGUGACACUGCGCCGAAAAUGUACCGGGGCUAAACAUAUUACCGAAGCUGUGGAUUGUCCUUUGGACAAUGGUAGGAGAGCGUUCUAAGGGCGUUGAAGCAUGAUCGUAAGGACAUGUGGAGCGCUUAGAAGUGAGAAUGCCGGUGUGAGUAGCGAAAGACGGGUGAGAAUCCCGUCCACCGAUUGACUAAGGUUUCCAGAGGAAGGCUCGUCCGCUCUGGGUUAGUCGGGUCCUAAGCUGAGGCCGACAGGCGUAGGCGAUGGAUAACAGGUUGAUAUUCCUGUACCACCUAUAAUCGUUUUAAUCGAUGGGGGGACGCAGUAGGAUAGGCGAAGCGUGCGAUUGGA